UCUGAUGGCGAGUGGCGAACGGGUGAGUAACAUAUCGGAACGUGCCUAGUAAUGGGGAAUAACUAAUCGAAAGAUUAGCUAAUACCGCAUACGACCUACGGGUGAAAGCAGGGGAUCUUCGGACCUUGCGUUAUUAGAGCGGCCGAUAUCUGAUUAGGUAGUUGGUGGGGUAAAGGCCUACCAAGGCGACGAUCAGUAGCUGGUCUGAGAGGACGAUCAGCCACACUGGGACUGAGAUACGGCCCAGACUCC
Molecule: ribosomal RNA, 252 nt
Filed under: uncultured bacterium
Lineage: Bacteria
Description: partial 16S ribosomal RNA
Rfam family: Bacterial small subunit ribosomal RNA
Source: RNAcentral